This 500-nucleotide ribosomal RNA is filed under the name uncultured bacterium. RNAcentral describes it as "partial 16S ribosomal RNA". It matches the Rfam family "Bacterial small subunit ribosomal RNA", at positions 28 to 507 of the family's 1533-position model. The record is from RNAcentral.
GACGAACGCUGGCGGCGUGCUUAACACAUGCAAGUCGAACGGGUCUGCCCUGUUUUUUGCGGGGUGGGUCAGUGGCGAACGGGUGAGUAACACGUGAGUAACCUGCCCCUCACUUCUGGAUAACCGCUUGAAAGGGUGGCUAAUACGGGGUGUUCUGGCUGUGCCGCAUGGUGUGGCUGGGAAAGAUUCACUUUUGUGGUGUUUUGGUGGGGGAUGGGCUCGCGGCCUAUCAGCUUGUUGGUGGGGUGAUGGCCUGCCAAGGCUUUGACGGGUAGCCGGCCUGGGAGGGUGGGCGGUCACACUGGGACUGAGACACGGCCCAGACUCCUGCGGGAGGCAGCAGUGGGGGGUAUUGCACAAUGGGCGGAAGCCUGAUGCAGCGACGUCGCGUGAGGGAUGGCGGCCUUCGGGUUGUGAACCUCUUUCGCCGGUGAAGAAGGUCCUGCUCUUUGUGGUGGGGUUGACGGUAGCCGGGUUAUGAAGCGCCGGCUAACUACGUG